Molecule: ribosomal RNA, 234 nt
Filed under: Triticum aestivum (bread wheat)
Lineage: Eukaryota; Viridiplantae; Streptophyta; Magnoliopsida; Poales; Poaceae
Description: partial small subunit ribosomal RNA
Source: RNAcentral
AUGGUUGGACUCAUAGGGAGGGAGCCAGGGGUACAAGGGAAGUCCGCCAGUGCAAGUUAUCAUUGGAUUGUUGAACACUUUGGGGAAUGCCCAGCUGAUGCGGACGAUGAAACAGUGCAGCAGUAUACCAGGGCAUACUUGUGGUAUGUAGUCAGCCGGAAUCUUUUCUCUGACGGCACUGGCAUGACUGCUUCCUUUAUGUGGCUUAAGAUGUUUGCUGGGUGGGAGCAUUGA